GACGAACGCUGGCGGCGUGCUUAACACAUGCAAGUCGAACGGAAAGGCCCUGCUUUUGUGGGGUGCUCGAGUGGCAAACGGGUGAGUAACACGUGAGUAACCUGCCCUUGACUUUGGGAUAACUUCAGGAAACUGGGGCUAAUACCGGAUAGGGGCUCCUGCUGCAUGGUGGGGGUUGGAAAGUUUCGGCGGUUGGGGAUGGACUCGCGGCUUAUCAGCUUGUUGGUGGGGUAGUGGCUUACCAAGGCUUUGACGGGUAGCCGGCCUGAGAGGGUGACCGGCCACAUUGGGACUGAGAUACGGCCCAGACUCCUACGGGAGGCAGCAGUGGGGAAUAUUGCACAAUGGGCGGAAGCCUGAUGCAGCAACGCCGCGUGCGGGAUGACGGCCUUCGGGUUGUAAACCGCUUUCGCCUGUGACGAAGCGUGAGUGACGGUAAUGGGUAAAGAAGCACCGGCUAACUACGUG
Molecule: ribosomal RNA, 468 nt
Filed under: uncultured bacterium
Lineage: Bacteria
Description: partial 16S ribosomal RNA
Rfam family: Bacterial small subunit ribosomal RNA
Source: RNAcentral